Long non-coding RNA from Sceloporus undulatus (fence lizard), 613 nucleotides. RefSeq lists it as uncharacterized. The transcript has 3 exons. The record is from RefSeq and is a predicted model, not a curated record. NCBI's taxonomy places the organism in Eukaryota, Metazoa, Chordata, Lepidosauria, Squamata, Phrynosomatidae.
UUCUGUCUAUAGGACUUAUCUAUAUCCUAAGAUUAUUGUGACUACAUGUAGGUAUAAAUCUUGGCAUUCUCUGUCUCUUGAUAUCCAACUGUCCCAUUUUAGUGGGGACAAUCCUGUUUAAUCCUCUGAUGUCCCGUUUCUCAAACUACAUUUAAAAUGUCCCAGUUUGUUUCUCUUCCUCUCACUUUGUCCCAUUGUCCUCAGGUUACUUCAACUGCUGCAAAGUGAAUUCAAAGUGCAAAAGUAGUUUGCAAGUUGGAAAAUGCGAACUAUUACACUCUCAUGCGGACUGCAUUCUGGUACAGAGGUGGUCAGGAGUGGGCACCCUGGGCUGACAAUUAUGAUGGUAAUUAUGAUGAUGUCAUCAGUGGAAGCUUGAUUUGUUUCUAGGAACAUCUGGUAAUGAGCUAAAAGCUUACCAAGAGACUAAUCCAAAAAAGAAAGAAAGAAAGAAAGAAAGAAAGAAAGCCAGCCAGCCAGCUUGCCUGCUCUUCUUUGGAAAACAUUACAUGUAGAAUCAAGCUUUUCUGAAAGAACUUUUUGUGAAAAAAGAAAACAAAAUUAACGUUAACCUGUGAAAAUGAAGGGUUUAAAUAAAUAAAUAAAAAGUCAA